AUUGAACGCUGGCGGCAGGCUUAACACAUGCAAGUCGAGCGGGGGAAGGUAGCUUGCUACCCGACAUAGCGGCGGACGGGUGAGUAAUGCUUAGGAAUCUGCCUGGUAGUGGGGGACAACGUCGGGAAAGGGAUGCUAAUACCGCAUACGUCCUACGGGAGAAAGCAGGGGAUCUUCGGACCUUGCGCUAAUAGAUGAGCCUAAGUCGGAGUAGCUAGUUGGUGGGGUAAAGGCCUACCAAGGCGACGAUCGGUAGCUGGUUUGGGAGGAUGAUCCGCCACACUGGGACUGAGACCCGGACCAGACUCCCUCGAGAGGCAGCAGGGGGGAAUAUUUGACCAUGGGGGGAACCCUGAUCCAGCCCUGCCGCGUGUGUGAAGAAGGCCUUAUGGUUGUAAAGCACUUUAAGGUAGGAGGAGGCUACUUUAGUUAAUACCUAGAGAUAGUGGACGUUACUCGCAGAAUAAGCACCGGCUAACUCUGUGCCAGCCGCCGCCGUAA
RNAcentral lists this ribosomal RNA (501 nucleotides) under uncultured bacterium. RNAcentral describes it as "partial 16S ribosomal RNA". It matches the Rfam family "Bacterial small subunit ribosomal RNA", at positions 30 to 523 of the family's 1533-position model. The record is from RNAcentral.